CUGCUACUAUCAUUAUCAUUACUGUUAUUAUUACUACUCACAGUUAUUUCCAUCAUCUCGCCAGUCAGUUGAAAACGAGGCUUUGGAAUGAUAUUUAAACAUGGCUGUCUCCUGAUCAGUAAGGUUCACGACUAAAACAACUAAAUGACGGGUUAAAGGGGAGGCUAAAUGACCAGCAAUGUCAGCUGUGGCCAUUUUAACAUGUACACCAAAUUCACACCCAUUCCUAGCAAGGCACAUAACUCUUCAUGAACCAGUCAAAGUGGGUAGAUCUGUUGCUAGGGCACGUCCAUCACCCAGCAAUGGCACAUUUGACUGCAAAGUUCUGUCAAGGAACCAUGCUAUUCUCUGGUACAAGAAUGGAAAGGACAGAUCCGGCUAUUGG
Octopus bimaculoides (California two-spot octopus) is the source of this 385-nucleotide long non-coding RNA. NCBI's taxonomy places the organism in Eukaryota, Metazoa, Mollusca, Cephalopoda, Octopoda, Octopodidae. The record is from RefSeq and is a predicted model, not a curated record.